This 466-nucleotide ribosomal RNA is filed under the name uncultured bacterium. Its description in RNAcentral is "partial 16S ribosomal RNA". It matches the Rfam family "Bacterial small subunit ribosomal RNA", at positions 30 to 507 of the family's 1533-position model. The record is from RNAcentral.
CGACCGCUGGCGGCGUGCUUAGCACAUGCAAGUCGAACGGAAAGGCCCUGCUUUUGUGGGGUGCUCGAGUGGCGAACGGGUGAGUAACACGUGAGUAACCUGCCCUUGACUUUGGGAUAACUUCAGGAAACUGGGGCUAAUACCGGAUAGGAGCUCCUGCUGCAUGGUGGGGGUUGGAAAGUUUCGGCGGUUGGGGAUGGACUCGCGGCUUAUCAGCUUGUUGGUGGGGUAGUGGCUUACCAAGGCUUUGACGGGUAGCCGGCCUGAGAGGGUGACCGGCCACAUUGGGACUGAGAUACGGCCCAGACUCCUACGGGAGGCAGCAGUGGGGAAUAUUGCACAAUGGGCGGAAGCCUGAUGCAGCAACGCCGCGUGCGGGAUGACGGCCUUCGGGUUGUAAACCGCUUUCGCCUGUGACGAAGCGUGAGUGACGGUAAUGGGUAAAGAAGCACCGGCUAACUACGUG